Non-coding RNA from Biomphalaria glabrata, 59 nucleotides. The record is from Rfam. Lineage: Eukaryota; Metazoa; Mollusca; Gastropoda; Planorbidae.
AUAGUUGAGUGGUAAAGCGAUUGGCUUCCGAACCGAGGGUCCCAGGUUCGAAUCCUGGU